CACUGGGACUGAGACACUUGCCCAGACUCCUACGGGAGGCUGCAGUCGAGGAUCAUUCGCAAUGCGCGAAAGCGUGACGAUGCGACGCUGCGUGUAGGAUGACGGCCUUCGGGUUGUAAACUACUGUCAUAAGGGAGAAGCCGGUACACGGCCAAUACCCGUGUACCCCGAUGUUACCUUAAGAGGAAGCCACGGCUAACUCUGUGCCAGCAGCCGCGGUAAUACAGAGGUGGCGAGCGUUGUUCGGAUUUACUGGGCGUAAAGGGUGUGUAGGUUGUCAUGUAUGUCGGAUGUGAAAUUCCGGGGCUCAACCCCGGGGCUGCAUUCGAAACUGCAUGGCUAGAGUGCGGAAGAGGCAGGCGGAAUUCUUGGUGUAGCGGUGAAAUGCGUUGAUAUCAAGAAGAACACCGGAUGCGAAGGCGGCCUGCUGGUACGUUACUGACACUCAUACACGAAAGCUGGGGGAGCAAACAGGUUUAGAUACCCUGGUAGUCCCAGCUGUAAACGGUGUGCACUCGAUGUUGUCGGAAUUGUCCCCGCCAGUGUCCAAGCAAACGCGUUAAGUGCACCGCCUGGGGAGUACGGUCGCAAGAUUAAAACUCAAAGAAAUUGACGGGGACCCGCACAAGCGGAGGAGCAUGUGGCUUAAUUCGAUGCAACGCGAAGAACCUUACCUGGACUUGACAUAUAACUGCACGUCCCGUGAAAGCGGGAUUCCUUCGAGGGUGUUGUACAGGUGCUGCAUGGCUGUCGUCAGUUCGUGCCGUGAGGUGUUAGGUUAAGUCCUGCAACGAACGCAACCCCUGUGUUUAGUUGCCAUCAGGUAAUGCUGGGCACUCUAGACAGACCGCCCGUGCAAUCGGGAGGAAGGUGGGGACGACGUCAAGUCAGUAUGCCUUUACGUCCAGGGCCGCACACGUGCUACAAUGACCGGUACAGAGGGCGGCGAUACCGCGAGGUGGAGCUAAUCCC
RNAcentral lists this ribosomal RNA (972 nucleotides) under uncultured organism. Its description in RNAcentral is "bacterial SSU rRNA". It matches the Rfam family "Bacterial small subunit ribosomal RNA", at positions 311 to 1275 of the family's 1533-position model. The record is from RNAcentral.